UACGUAGGGAGCAAGCGUUGUCCGGAAUUACUGGGUGUAAAGGGAGCGUAGGCGGGAUGGCAAGUUGGGUGUUAAAUCUACCGGCUCAACUGGUAGUCGCACUCAAGACUGCUAUUCUUGAGUGAAGUAGAGGCAGGCGGAAUUCCUAGUGUAGCGGUGAAAUGCGUAGAUAUUAGGAGGAACACCAGUGGCGAAGGCGGCCUGCUGGGCUUUUACUGACGCUGAGGCUCGAAAGUGUGGGGAGCAAACAGG
Molecule: ribosomal RNA, 252 nt
Filed under: uncultured bacterium
Lineage: Bacteria
Description: partial 16S ribosomal RNA
Rfam family: Bacterial small subunit ribosomal RNA
Source: RNAcentral